GACUGGAGGGUGUACUGCAAGCUCGCAGCGCAGAUAGUGUCCAAAAAUAAAUAAAACUGUAGAAAAAUAAAAAGAAAUGAGCACUGAACGGAGAGCCGGAAAGCCGCUGCGCCACCUAGGCGCGCCGCCAUGGUUUACCAGGCUUUAUGU
Molecule: long non-coding RNA, 150 nt
Organism: Thalassophryne amazonica
Lineage: Eukaryota; Metazoa; Chordata; Actinopteri; Batrachoidiformes; Batrachoididae
Exons: 3
Source: RefSeq, a predicted model, not a curated record